RNAcentral lists this ribosomal RNA (1241 nucleotides) under Enterococcus hirae. RNAcentral's name for it is "bacterial SSU rRNA". It matches the Rfam family "Bacterial small subunit ribosomal RNA", at positions 26 to 1239 of the family's 1533-position model. The record is from RNAcentral. Lineage: Bacteria; Bacillati; Bacillota; Bacilli; Lactobacillales; Enterococcaceae.
AGGACGAACGCUGGCGGCGUGCCUAAUACAUGCAAGUCGUACGCUUCUUUUUCCACCGGAGCUUGCUCCACCGGAAAAAGAAGAGUGGCGAACGGGUGAGUAACACGUGGGUAACCUGCCCAUCAGAAGGGGAUAACACUUGGAAACAGGUGCUAAUACCGUAUAACAAUCGAAACCGCAUGGUUUUGAUUUGAAAGGCGCUUUCGGGUGUCGCUGAUGGAUGGACCCGCGGUGCAUUAGCUAGUUGGUGAGGUAACGGCUCACCAAGGCCACGAUGCAUAGCCGACCUGAGAGGGUGAUCGGCCACAUUGGGACUGAGACACGGCCCAAACUCCUACGGGAGGCAGCAGUAGGGAAUCUUCGGCAAUGGACGAAAGUCUGACCGAGCAACGCCGCGUGAGUGAAGAAGGUUUUCGGAUCGUAAAACUCUGUUGUUAGAGAAGAACAAGGAUGAGAGUAACUGUUCAUCCCUUGACGGUAUCUAACCAGAAAGCCACGGCUAACUACGUGCCAGCAGCCGCGGUAAUACGUAGGUGGCAAGCGUUGUCCGGAUUUAUUGGGCGUAAAGCGAGCGCAGGCGGUUUCUUAAGUCUGAUGUGAAAGCCCCCGGCUCAACCGGGGAGGGUCAUUGGAAACUGGGAGACUUGAGUGCAGAAGAGGAGAGUGGAAUUCCAUGUGUAGCGGUGAAAUGCGUAGAUAUAUGGAGGAACACCAGUGGCGAAGGCGGCUCUCUGGUCUGUAACUGACGCUGAGGCUCGAAAGCGUGGGGAGCAAACAGGAUUAGAUACCCUGGUAGUCCACGCCGUAAACGAUGAGUGCUAAGUGUUGGAGGGUUUCCGCCCUUCAGUGCUGCAGCUAACGCAUUAAGCACUCCGCCUGGGGAGUACGACCGCAAGGUUGAAACUCAAAGGAAUUGACGGGGGCCCGCACAAGCGGUGGAGCAUGUGGUUUAAUUCGAAGCAACGCGAAGAACCUUACCAGGUCUUGACAUCCUUUGACCACUCUAGAGAUAGAGCUUCCCCUUCGGGGGCAAAGUGACAGGUGGUGCAUGGUUGUCGUCAGCUCGUGUCGUGAGAUGUUGGGUUAAGUCCCGCAACGAGCGCAACCCUUAUUGUUAGUUGCCAUCAUUCAGUUGGGCACUCUAGCAAGACUGCCGGUGACAAACCGGAGGAAGGUGGGGAUGACGUCAAAUCAUCAUGCCCCUUAUGACCUGGGCUACACACGUGCUACAAUGGGAAGUA